RNAcentral lists this ribosomal RNA (253 nucleotides) under uncultured bacterium. Its description in RNAcentral is "partial 16S ribosomal RNA". It matches the Rfam family "Bacterial small subunit ribosomal RNA", at positions 524 to 776 of the family's 1533-position model. The record is from RNAcentral.
UACGUAGGGGGCAAGCGUUGUCCGGAAUUAUUGGGCGUAAAGAGCUCGUAGGCGGCUUGUCACGUCUGCUGUGAAAACUUGGGGCUCAACUCCCAGCCUGCAGUGGAUACGGGCUAGCUAGAGUGCGGUAGGGGAGACUGGAAUUCCUGGUGUAGCGGUGAAAUGCGCAGAUAUCAGGAGGAACACCGGUGGCGAAGGCGGGUCUCUGGGCCGAUACUGACGCUGAGGAGCGAAAGCGUGGGGAGCGAACAGG